AUGCACCUGGGUUUGAUGGAUCCAUGGCGAUGAUUUAUCUGGAUCUAGAUAUUAUGAAUCGAUCAAAAACUAUUCUGGGAAUUGAAAAAUGAUUAAAGGUAUAAAGUUUGAGAUAUAUUGUGUUCUUGGUUUGGUAUGGUGUUAGACAGCUAUAACUUUAUACAAUUAACAUGCGCAAAUUAGACUUGGUGUGAGUUAAGGACGAGACUUUUCUUUUCACCUUAUUCUAGGGACCCAGACAUGAAUUGUUCUUUUCGAGUUGCGUUUUUGUUCGUCAUUGCGGCAUGAACAUUGGCUGCGUCAUUGCGGCAUUCGCAGUCGAUGACUUGUUCAGAACAUUUUCAUGACAGGAUACUGAUUAAUGUCUUUGUCAAGCUGAUUAAUGCAUUUUUUAAAAAAAUUAUUUUUUAAAAAAUUUAUAAUUUUUAUUAAAAAUAAAUAAAUCUCAACUACUUAUAAAAAAAAAUUGAUAUUUAAUAUAUAUAAUAAAAAAGAUAAGAAGGCGAGAGGGUCAAGUUUACUUUAACGUGUCAAUGCAGGCCUUGUUUAUCAUUUCUCAACAAUCAAUUCAUUUCCUCGAAUCAGAGUGCAAAGUUCAAGUGGCCAAGCUAUAGAAACUAUGUUUGUUGGUUAUUGAGGUCCCAAGACAACGACCAUCAAUCAAUCAGUAUCAAUAUUAAUGCAGUAAAAUAUAAUAAUAAAACAGAUUUAAAAUAUAAAAAAUUAUAGAAAGAAGACACGUGGCUUUAUUCUUGAUUUAAAAUAAAAUUAUAAAACAGAUUCAAUAUCAUACAUGAAACAAAUAUACACAUGAGAAGUCGCAGACACUUAAGUAUCUUUGUUCUUGAUUCGAUUAGUUUUUUCCUUUAUUUUUAUUUGUCUAAAUGUUAAGUCCUUGUUUGGCACCAAGCAUGAUCAAUGACUAAUCAGUCAGUAAAUCACAACACGUUGACACAUGUCCAGUGUAAUGUAAACGUGUGUGUGUGUGUGUAAAAACACGUAUACUCAAAUGCUCAUUUUCUUUUACCUCUUCUUUUUUAUUUUUCAUUUAUUCUUCUUCCGCUAUAUCCAAUUUCACCCCAAAUUACGGUCUCCCACUCCAGCUACUGCCUUCAACAUGAUUUUUUUUAGUACAUUUGUAAUUUACGAAUGACACACGAUUUUUUUAAAUUACAAAAUUAUUGAGUAUAAGAUUCAAUAAUAAUAAAAAAAAAAACGUCGGAAGCAAAUCAAAAUCUUAUUUACUAUUAGUAAUUUUUUUUGUUAUUGUUGGAUUUAUUUCAUUGAAAUCUUUUCAACGAUAUCAGUAAUGUCGUCAUCGAAGCUUCGCUGUGUCCUUAUGAACUUUUUAUUUCUUUUGUUUUUUUUAUUUAUUUAUUAAAUCUUGUAUUCAAUAAUUUUGUAAUUUAAAAGUCUUGGAUAACACUUCUACUUACAAAUACACAACUCUAUAAAAUAUAUUAUUUUUCUAAAUAUUUUUUGUUCUAUAUUAUUUAAUCAUAUAUUUUUAUACUAAACUAGAGUCCCAACAAAAAAAACUCCUUCAACAUUGGAGGCCAAUUAUAAUGAUACGGUAGAAAACCCGUUUUUAAAAACCUACCAAAGACAUGAAUAGCAUCUAAGUAGCAAUAACUCUACCCACACAGCGAAAUCAUAAUGCUCCAUGAAUACAUGUUUCUUAUCGAACACCUUACGAGCUUCUUGAAGAAGCCCAGAUCCUGAGCAUCUAGUCAACAGCUUUUGAGGAGGCCGCAGUUAUAGAUUGUUGAAAAUUCUUAUUAUUAAAGACACCCUAAUUCUACUGUAAUUGGAGAGUGCACCGUCCAAUUUAAUACACAAGCCCAUGCUAAGUCUCUAGUCCAUGCCGCAAUAUUAACAGCGUUGCUUGAGCCCAAGUGUAGCUAGAGACAGUUCCCUCUCCGUUCUAAAGCGAAGGACGAAUAAGAAUCUGCGACUCAUUCUCUUUGUUUCAUACCAAAGAUGCUAAAAGGAGACAUUAAUGUCUUUCGAGUUAGCAUCACAACUGCUAACAGGGACUAAUCUAUGCAAGUGUCAUGGCCUUUCUCUUCACCAUUCCUAUCAGCAUCGUGACUGCCACAACAGACCAGGUAACUUGAUUGUAAGUUUGCUCCCUUUUAAAUCUUAAUCCGAGCUAGAGAUGAAUAUGUUCUGAAAUUCUUCAGCUUUAUCAUGUCUAAUUUAGCAUGCCCAGAAAACAUAAUAUUCCAAAAGUAUAAAUCUUUCUCAAACACUUUACAAGAGCUACGAUGAUAACCACAUAGUACAUACUUAUGAAUAUUAAAUUAUUGACUAAAGCUGAUAAAUUCAAAUUUAAUAGGACUUAAAAAUCUUUAAAGGUUAAAAAAUUCACGGUUUUAAAUAACAUGUCUAGAUCCAACCGCCCGCGAGCUCAACCUUGAAGAAAAGUCCGAUGUCAUGGGCUCAGCCUAUAAAAAGAGACCAUGAGUAUGCUUGGUAUUGUUUUAGCUUUUGUAGUUGUGAUUUGAAAAAAGUUGUUUUUAUAAAAAAUACUUUUAGUUGAGGUUGGUUUGAUAUUUAUAUAUGUUUGGUUAAAACUGUGGUUAAAAUUGAGAUUGAACAAAAAGUAGUUUAAUGUGUUUGGUUAAGAAUGCUUUUUAAAUUGAGGUUAUAAAAUAACUAUAAAAAAUAUAUAUUAAUAUUAAUGGUUUUGAAUUUAAAUAUUGUAGAUUUAACUACUACUAUUACAUCAUGAAAUAAAUAAUACUUUAUAUAUAAUAUUUUUUAUUGUUCCAUUAAACUAUCUACAAUUACAUUACGUACAAAAUUCAUCAGACAAUAACUAUAGUUUUCAUGAUUUUUUGAGCGUGCAAUAAAAUUAGGUAAAAUUUUAUCAGGAAUACAAUUGAGAUUACAAUGCGAGUAAAUUUAAUUCACUCUAAACUAGUUUUUCAAAUAAGUAAAAAAAAAAUAUUGUUCACGUUCACGUGAACAGUGCGAGUGAAAUCAAUUCACUGCACUGGUUUUUUGAAAAAAAACCGCACUGUUCACUUUAAUGAACAGUGCAGAGAAGAAAAGCAGCCAAGAGCUGCUUUGAUUUUUCCUGCGUUUUAAACGCAAUUUGCAGUUGGCCCAUCAGAGAAAAAAAAAUUGCAUUUUUGUGUUUACCAAACAAUUGUUUGGUUGUGGUUGGUUCAAACGCAAAAGCAACCACGCAAACAAACGGACUCAGCCUAUAAAAAGAAACCAAUUCUCAUGGGCUUUGCUGUAAGAAAAGAGCCCACUGCCAUGGGUUAUUUCCAAUAGACAAAGUCCAUCACACUGGGCUCUUUCCCUGGGCUUUUUUAUUUCAUGGUCCGAUUUCGAUGAUUUUUUUUCUCUUAUUUCUCAAACCAGGAGCUAAUAAAUAACAAAAAUAAACUUUUAUAUCAAAAUUGGAUUGAAAACAUAUUGAGGGAUCAAAUAUGUAUAGGUUGUAAAGUUUGAGAACUAAAAUAAAUGUUUUGUGUGAACUUUAAAACUAUCAUCUUAUGACGGUUUUUCUACUUUGAUUCCAUGUCUUUGAAUUUUAUUUUUAGUAUAUAAAUUUGAUUGAAUUAUCCUUGAGUUUGAUCCAAGAAUGAUGGAAUCGCACAAAACAAAUUAAGGGUCAAAUUAAAAAAAAAAAUAGAAAAUUUUAAACAGAAUAUCUAUGGUAAAAUAUGAAAGAGUGAAUAUCCUGUGUGUGAACAGUGAAAUAACAAUAUUUUUUUAGAUUUAUAGUAAUAAUAAUAAUAAUAUUGAAGAUGAUUAAACAAAAACAAGAAGAAAAAAAAGAAAAGACUUUUUUCAUGGAUGAGUUUAUCCCUUAAUCAUUCAAGCCGUGUACGAAGUGCAUAAAUACGAGUAGUAAUAAAAAUCCCGCAAUCUCAAUUCCCAAACAAAUAAGAUACCACCAGUCGAAUUGAAAACACAAAAACAAAAGCAAGCUCAGACCUUCAUUUAUUACCACUAUAGUUUAUGUCUUACACGCACAUGCCAUUGGAUAAACCAUAUUAAAAUCUGUUUAUGUUCUGAGGGUAAAACAGAAUAAAGAAACAAGGAAGAGUAUGUAAGUAAUCCAAUAAGAAGAUGCCACGCUCUCCACAAACUGACAUCAUUUUUACUAAUUGUAGCACAGUAGAUCACCCACUCUAUCGGGUCAUGCCUUGUCCAACUACCGGAGCCGAUGGAGCCACGGUGCCACUUGGUCCCUGCAAACUCUCUUGCCAACCUGAUAAUUUCCAAAUAAAAAAAUAGAAAAGUUAAUCUAUAAUUUUGCUAUCCCAGAUGUGCAACUGACCAAGGAAUAUAAGGGUGAAAUAUAUACCACUAGCCAUAUCGAAUCCACGGUGCUUGAGCUCGCGGUACUCUUGGCACAGGGCGCAAGACUCACAGCAGCAGUGAACCAAAAAGUCAUUGCAACGACUCUCCUCUAACAUGUAUUGCGUCCUUAAUUUGGACCGGUAGAGGCAUGAGUACAGGCAGCUGCAACAAGUGAAGCACAAAAGCAAUCCAUAAAUUGCUCCACUCACAGCACAAGCUGCAAAAAACCAAAGAAUUCUUUCAUAAAAAUCACAAAUAAUUAUAUAGAAAAAAAAGAAGAAGUAACAUCCAAAAUCAACUAGACACGCGACAAUUGAUUGCUAGCAAAUUAUCAGCAAUCAACAAUAAAGCCUAUGAACCACUAUAUUAUUUACUUACGUGUUGUUCCUUUAUCUGUAAUCUCAGCAAUCCGUCCAAAAGUGAUACAUGGACACCAAUACGUGAGGCAACCUGCAAUUAAUAGGAACAGGUUAAAUGUAAUAAUAUAGCUAAAGAUUCAUAGCCCAUGUUCUAUUUUUACACGUGGCCAAAACGAAACUAAAAGGCUAUCUCGCUUAUUCAUGAGAACUUGUACUUACAACUAGGGACAUCGGAACAACAAUCACAGAGGCCAGAGGACCAACGAGCCUGCUGUCCAUGCUGCCGCUGUUGAUGAUGAUGGGGAUGCUGCGGAUUCUCAUUGAUAUACAGGGUUGCAUGUCCCACUGGAAUGUUGAUAUACUGGCUUGCAUGUCCCACUGGAAUGCCGGUCUCGGGGGGUGGGUAUGCAGGCUGUGGCUUUGUGUCUAUUUCAAGGCUGAUGCACCUGGCUUUGAUGGAUCCAUGGCGAUGAUUUAUCUGGAGCUAGAUAUUAUGAAUCGAUCAAAAACCAUUCUGGGAAUUGAAAAAUGAUUAAAGGUAUAAAGUUUGAGAUAUAUUGUGUUCUUGGUUUGGUAUGGUGUUAGACAGCUAUAACUUUAUAGGAAGCACUUAUACAAUUAACAUGCGCAAAUUAGACUUGGUGUGAGUUAAGGACGAGACUUUUCUUUUCACCUUAUUCUAG
Molecule: long non-coding RNA, 5365 nt
Filed under: Populus trichocarpa (black cottonwood)
Lineage: Eukaryota; Viridiplantae; Streptophyta; Magnoliopsida; Malpighiales; Salicaceae
Description: long non-coding RNA (PTRI_LNC002515)
Source: RNAcentral